GUGUUGUAUGAAAGGAGAGAAGGUUAUAACUCCCCUUGACCAGUAUAGAAGAGGUCUUAUUGGCCUUACAACACAUAAAUGGUUAAGGCAUUGGCACCUACUUCAUGGCAUCUCUAACCAUGUAUUUUU
Molecule: small nuclear RNA, 129 nt
Organism: Pygocentrus nattereri (red-bellied piranha)
Lineage: Eukaryota; Metazoa; Chordata; Actinopteri; Characiformes; Serrasalmidae
Source: Ensembl